GCUAUGUCAGUACGUGCAGAUCUUCUUAUUGCUCUUUUCCCUUUCCUCAGAUCUGGGAACUAGAGCAUACUCUGUAGUCCUACAUCUUCAGGGAAGAAACUGUCUCACUCUCCGCACUAGUAUCAACUAGAACAAUCUCUUGAUGCUGACUGAAGUACUAGGCUAGCAUCAAAAACACAUGAUUGAAAGCCACCUAAAGAUUACUCAUCUAACAGGAGCAAGUUAGAGUUAUUUAGUGGUUAAUGAGAUUACCCAUCUGCAACUCUGGGGGUCCUUGUGUCCCCCUCAAGAAGAAUGCUAACUAUAUCCUGUAAAACUGAAGACUCUGUAGUACCUCCUUCUACUACUACUAUUGCAUUUAUAGGCCUUUAUGGGUAAACUGCUUUCUGACUGACUUCAUCGGUUAUUUAGACUUUUCACAAUUCAGAAUCUCAGAAAUUAUCUCUAGUCAUGAAUUAUUUUUCACCUAAUACAACAGAGUUCAAAAUCAAGAAUAAAUACUUUAUACAAGAAAGGGUUGAGGCUUAUUUGAAUAAUAAGCACAAUGCUCUAAUGUAUAUAAACACACGCACUUGGACAAUGCUGCAAAUUAUGGAGAUUAAACCAACAGGAUGAUAGUAAAAUCCUGCCAAUGCCAGCAAAAGUUCUCAGCACCUCAACAUUUAAGGACCUUAACUAACUGUCAAGAGAACUCAAGAACUCUCAUCCAACACAAUAAAUACCCAGGUAUAUGAUUCCGUCGAACAAGUGGCACUAACUCUUCUGAACCUGCUGUUGCAGAGUUGAGAAAUGUUCCAUGUCCAAUUCUGUCAGGAGGCAGGCCCAGGAGAAUUUUGGUCUCCUCUUCUUGAUUUGGAAUCUAGAGAGGAUAUAUUUUACAUUCUGUCAAGGCAGCACAAACCAGCACAUUAAAUAACUACAACGGACUAUUUCACUGUGUAUCUUAUCUAAAAGAAAGUGUUAGUGAGACUAAAUAUCUGCUUUACUACCCUGUAAAGAAAGAAGUAGUGCAUGAAAGUGAC
Long non-coding RNA from Grus americana (Whooping crane), 1022 nucleotides. RefSeq lists it as uncharacterized. NCBI's taxonomy places the organism in Eukaryota, Metazoa, Chordata, Aves, Gruiformes, Gruidae. The record is from RefSeq and is a predicted model, not a curated record. The transcript has 2 exons.